Molecule: long non-coding RNA, 1059 nt
Filed under: Equus asinus (donkey)
Lineage: Eukaryota; Metazoa; Chordata; Mammalia; Perissodactyla; Equidae
Description: lncRNA (ENSEASG00005033548.1)
Source: RNAcentral
CUUUUUUGUUACAUAAAUUCACCCAUUUGUUAUCUAUAGCGAUGUUUCAAAUGGUGGAACUUCUCUUUCGGUUCCUUUGGUCCUCUGAUGGCUGACUUUGCUGAGACGGCAGAAGUGGCGUGGUAGGUCCAGGCCCCUCCAGCUGCUGUUUCACGCAGAAUCGCAGUGCCAGAGCCCCACAGCUCAUCUCUCCGUUUUGGUUUUGCCACAGAAGGAGCAAGUGUACUUGGUGUGCAGGCCAAGCUCAAUUUUCUUCACCAUUUUCCUGAGAGAGGCACCGUAACCAGUCCUGUAUUUGUCAACGAUUCGGAUCUUCUCGAUCCGUUCAGCCAUCUCUCUGCAAGCUGCCUCUCAGCCCAGAGAGGAAGCCACUCCCUUUAUUCUAAAGUCAACCAAUCAUCGUACAAAGUGACUGCAUCCCAGGAGAUUUGGCAAUUGAGGUCUUAAACUGGUUAGACUCAACCUGGCUUCUCUUUAUCACCAUCCAUUGGGUAAGGGCCUCAUGAGGACGAUGAUAGACGUUUUCUUUGCACAUCUGAGUGAGACAGACUCUUAAGAUGGGUCCCAAUUAUCUCUGUUUCCUCGUAUUCAUUCCCGUAUGGAAUCUCCUCUUCUCUGAGUGUGGGAGAGACCUGUGACUUGCUUCUAAACAAGAGAAUAUGGCAAAGGUGAUGUCACUUCUGUGAUCAUGUUACAUAGAUUGUAACUUCCGUCUUGCUAGCAGACUCUCUGAUGAUUCUCUCCCUUUGCUGGCUUUGAUGAAAUAACCCACCAUACGGAGAGGCCCACGUGGCAAGGAACUGAAGCAGGCCUCCAGCUGACAGCAGCAAGGAAGAAAGGUCCUUAGUCAGAUAACCCACAAUGAACCGAAUCCUGCCAACAACCAUAUGAACUUGGAAGUGGAUCCUUCCCCAUUCGAGCCUCAGAUGAGACCCCAGCCCUGGUCAACAUCUUGACUGCAGUCUUGUGAGAGCUCCUGAUAAAGAGGACUCACUAAGCCAUGCCCAGACUCCUGACCCAUGAAAUGGGGAGAUAAUAAAUGUGUGCUGUUUCAAGUUG